RNAcentral lists this long non-coding RNA (211 nucleotides) under Phoenix dactylifera (date palm). RNAcentral describes it as "long non-coding RNA (PDAC_LNC011769)". Lineage: Eukaryota; Viridiplantae; Streptophyta; Magnoliopsida; Arecales; Arecaceae. The record is from RNAcentral.
UUGAGUUAUUUCCUAAAUGGUUAUUAAAACAGGUUAGACGUUGAAUCCUAUUAGGUCUUUUAUUAUAUUCUACGAUCGGAACUUUGAAAAAUUAAUUAUUAUCUGACUUAAAUUUUUUUAGGUACCGACUAUGAUGGAGAGACAUUGUUCCAAUGAAUUAAUAGUCCUUGCUCGAGGUCCGAACAAUAUUGUCAACAGAUAUGAUGGGUUC